GCGAAGGAAAUGGGCCAGUUUAAUGCACCGACAGGUGUGUGCAGUAGAUGCCAAUGGCAUUAUUAUAGUGGCUGACUGGGGCAACAGCCGGAUACAGGUGUUUGACAGCAGUGGAUCCUUCCUGUCCUACAUCAACACCUCCGCAGACCCUCUGUAUGGCCCACAAGGACUGGCUCUGACAUCAGAUGGCCACAUUGUGGUGGCAGACUCUGGGAACCAUUGUUUUAAAGUGUACCGUUAUCUACAAUAGCACUCUCCUCUCUAAAAAUAAAUACUUGCACUUAUUCCUUAAAAGCUGCCGCCCCCUUGUGCCAAAUGGGACCCUCAUAUUGCAAGUUGUGUUGUUGUGGGCUUCAUUCGUGACACCCUCACCUUGGACAGAAGAACAAACUCUGUACCCUGAUCGUGGUUCUUUGGUUCUUCACCUUUGACUCAAAAACUGCUACACAUUAGGGAAAACAUUCAUGUUUCUACUGUAUGUUGAAAAAUCUGAAUGUUCAGAUGAUUAAAAAGGGAACUCUUCGAAGCACUAGCAUGUAUAAUAAGAAUGCAAGUCAUGCGAUUCCAAACUACUAUACUAAUAUAUCUGCACAACAAAUAGACACAACCCCCAAAACAAAUCUCACUAUGGUGGGGCUAGUAUCAAUAAUAUUUUUUUUGGCCCGAGUUAGCCUAUGUUUAAAAAGUGAUGUCAGGAAUAUUUCAUAAAAUAUGCAACAUGCUGCUUUGCUAUUGACUGUGAUGUGCACAACUGUGGUUAGUACAAUGUUCUUAUAAUGCAAUUAGGUCUCUUGAAUCACCCAUAUUAUGCAAGAAGCAUCACUUGAUAUGCUUUUUAGACUGUAAACAAAAUUUCCUUUUUUUACUAUCACUGCACUGUUCAUUUAAACAUCAGCCGUGCUCAUUUCUCUAAACCAUAAAAGUUCAUGUGUUGUUCAGAGAAACAAUAUCUCAUGCUCAAAUCACCAGAUGCACUUUGUGAUUUAGCAACACAAAAAAUAUGUAUAGUGCUGUUAUUAAUAAUAGCCCCGUUUACUAGAAAAGGUUUACUAGAAGACAUGCAUUAUUAUAAUUACUGAUCUUUAUGUGUUCUGAGAGUGGAUGUGUUGUGCUGACAAACCAUGUUCCGUGUUCAUAUUCAUAAUGCCUAAAAAAAAAAAAAAAAAAAAACGAAAAAGUGCCCAGGGUUCUUUUCAAGUGUAUUUAUGCCACACAGAUAAAUCUUCCUUGUUCUAUGUCUGUUCUCCUGUACAGUUCGAUUGUCAUACACAGGGAACUAUUGCUGCUUGUUUGCACAAAAUACACAAUAUAAAAACAAUGUACAUUCCAAAAUGUAUUUCUCCCUUUAUAAUCAGGACACCUGCUUUUUUGUAGCAUUAAAGCUUGCAUUUUACUCCUUUGUUGUUUUACCACAUUAAAGGACAUGCAACCAAUGACGCUUUUACAUUUCUAGAUCUUAAUGCCACAUUCAGGCAACCUAAGUUAUAUCAUGUUUUGCACAACACAUAAAUAAACUGCAUUAUUUGA
Long non-coding RNA from Cyprinus carpio (common carp), 1527 nucleotides. RefSeq lists it as uncharacterized. The record is from RefSeq and is a predicted model, not a curated record. NCBI's taxonomy places the organism in Eukaryota, Metazoa, Chordata, Actinopteri, Cypriniformes, Cyprinidae. The transcript is spliced from 2 exons.